GUCCAGCUGACGGGUCCCAAAACAGGACGAAACGCGCGUCCUGAAU
Non-coding RNA from Schistosoma curassoni, 46 nucleotides. The record is from Rfam. Lineage: Eukaryota; Metazoa; Platyhelminthes; Trematoda; Strigeidida; Schistosomatidae.